AGGAAAAUUUUUGAAUGAAUACUACAGUAUUCGAGACGAGGUUCAUGAUUUAUUAAAAAGUUUUUCUUGGAUUUGUGGUGGAUAUGGUGUACGAUGGGAACCCUAUCUAUCUUUGUAUGUGACUGUGGCAGCUGAAAGACAAAAUGAUGAAGAUGCCUUAAGAAAAGAAAUUGACGAAAGUUUUGGAUGGAAAGCUUCUCCUUACUUUGACUUUAAACCAGAACCAAAGAAAUCGCAAUUUCGAUGGUUGUCAGACCUAGAAGUAGUAAAAAAAGAGAACAGCCCUCGUCCUUCAAGUGAAAAAACUGACAAUGAAUGUGAAACAAGAGCAAAAGAGGUCAAAUUCCAAGGCAAACAAAACUUUUUACAUAACAAAGAUAUGUAAUAAAUGCAUUUAGAUGACGAAGUUUUAUCCUGUCGUAGAAAAAGGUUAGGACAGAGCAUUGAAAUUAUAAAGAUAGGUAAAGUU
Xenia sp. Carnegie-2017 is the source of this 469-nucleotide long non-coding RNA. RefSeq lists it as uncharacterized. The record is from RefSeq and is a predicted model, not a curated record. NCBI's taxonomy places the organism in Eukaryota, Metazoa, Cnidaria, Anthozoa, Malacalcyonacea, Xeniidae. The transcript has 3 exons.